UACAGAGACAUGAACACACAAGCAAGAAUGGAUAAAUAACAAAGUGUUUAAGGUCCAAUUGUGAACCACUAAAAUAUAGUGAUAGUCUGCCCAUCAGAAUUCUACUUUAUCACAGGUUUUAUAUGAUUAUCAAUUACAGUGCUUGGGUUUCUAGUUUAGAUUCAGAUAUGCCCAAAGUAUUUGAAAAAAUUUCUGAAGGCCAAAUGAAAGUAAGAAUCAUUAUAAAUAUUUUAGUGCAUUUCAGAGAUUUGUGACUGACAACUUGAGACAACAAAUACAGACCAAAUUUUCCAUAACUCUGUACCUGAGAAUUAUAAAAAAUACAACAUCAGCCAAACAGUAGGACUGACCUGAUUCUUACUCAGAAGACAUGGUGUAGUUAUAUUCAAUUCCCUACAAAACAGAAAAUAUUCAUUAAGCACUGACUUUGACCAGUACUUGGAGAUAACAGUAGAAAGAUGGGUAAGAAUGACUAUUGGGGAAAUCAAAUAUGCAAACAGAAUGUGAAAUCUAAUUUUAGUGUUUUAAAAUUUGUUAAAUGCUAUGUGUGGUGGCUAACAUCUAUAAUCCCAGCACCAGGAGGAUUUCUGUGAGUUCAAGGCCAGCUUGGGUAACAUAGUGAAUUCAAGACCAGCCUGAACUACCUAGUGAGACUCUGUCUCAAAAAAAAAAAAACACAACAACAACAAAAAAGAUAAUCUAAAAAUUGUUGUAACAGCUGGGUGUAGUGUCAUAUGCCUGUAAUCUGAACACUGUGGGAGGCUGGGGCAGAAG
This 774-nucleotide long non-coding RNA is filed under the name Heterocephalus glaber (naked mole-rat). RNAcentral describes it as "lncRNA (ENSHGLG00100033132.1)". Lineage: Eukaryota; Metazoa; Chordata; Mammalia; Rodentia; Bathyergidae. The record is from RNAcentral.